This 84-nucleotide transfer RNA is filed under the name Microcaldota archaeon. RNAcentral's name for it is "tRNA-Leu". It matches the Rfam family "tRNA". From Rfam's summary of the family: Transfer RNA (tRNA) molecules are approximately 80 nucleotides in length. Their secondary structure includes four short double-helical elements and three loops (D, anti-codon, and T loops). The record is from RNAcentral. Lineage: Archaea; Nanobdellati; Microcaldota. RNAcentral also lists the same sequence under 1 other name.
GCAGGGGUCGCCAAGUGGUCAAAGGCGCCAGGUUCAGGGCCUGGUCGGUUAGUCCGUUCGAGAGUUCGAAUCUCUUCCCCUGCA